GACAGAGGGUGCAAACGUUGUUCGGAAUUACUGGGCGUAAAGGGCGCGUAGGCGGCUUCGCAAGUGGAAGGUGAAAGCCCUCGGCUUAACCGAGGAACUGCCUGUCAGACUGGAUGGCUUGAGACCGGGAGAGGUGAGUGGAAUUCCCAGUGUAGCGGUGAAAUGCGCAGAUAUCAGGAGGAACACCGGUGGCGAAGGCGGGUCUCUGGGCCGAUACUGACGCUGAGGAGCGAAAGCGUGGGAGCGAACAGG
This 252-nucleotide ribosomal RNA is filed under the name uncultured bacterium. RNAcentral's name for it is "partial 16S ribosomal RNA". It matches the Rfam family "Bacterial small subunit ribosomal RNA", at positions 524 to 776 of the family's 1533-position model. The record is from RNAcentral.